GGCUCGUUGGUCUAGGGGUAUGAUUCUCGCCUGGUGUGUGAGGUCCCGGUUCAAAUCCCGGAUGCGCCA
This 69-nucleotide transfer RNA is filed under the name Ameiurus melas (black bullhead). RNAcentral's name for it is "tRNA-Thr". It matches the Rfam family "tRNA". From Rfam's summary of the family: Transfer RNA (tRNA) molecules are approximately 80 nucleotides in length. Their secondary structure includes four short double-helical elements and three loops (D, anti-codon, and T loops). Lineage: Eukaryota; Metazoa; Chordata; Actinopteri; Siluriformes; Ictaluridae. The record is from RNAcentral.